UACUCUUCUGGGACCCAGACCAGC
RNAcentral lists this non-coding RNA (24 nucleotides) under Cricetulus griseus (Chinese hamster). The record is from RNAcentral. Lineage: Eukaryota; Metazoa; Chordata; Mammalia; Rodentia; Cricetidae.